RNAcentral lists this long non-coding RNA (199 nucleotides) under Lathyrus oleraceus (garden pea). Its description in RNAcentral is "Pisum sativum (pea) long non-coding RNA (PSAT_LNC010252)". Lineage: Eukaryota; Viridiplantae; Streptophyta; Magnoliopsida; Fabales; Fabaceae. The record is from RNAcentral.
ACGUAGGAAAAUUUGAUCUUCCAUUGAAUUUGAAAACAGUUGUUUGCAUCGACAAAACUUGAUUAAUGCUUGAACUUGUAGCCAUUUUAAUGUAACAAGCUCUGAUGCCAAAUCUUGGCAAAUGAAUUUAAUUACCUUAAUAUAAUUGUGUUGUUAUAAGAAUAAUAUUAAAAAAAUAACAUCAUAAACAAUCUUCUUC